RNAcentral lists this long non-coding RNA (212 nucleotides) under Hordeum vulgare. RNAcentral describes it as "long non-coding RNA (HVUL_LNC010684)". Lineage: Eukaryota; Viridiplantae; Streptophyta; Magnoliopsida; Poales; Poaceae. The record is from RNAcentral.
GACGAAGGGUGCUGGUUUUUCUUGUGUGUCCGGUCCGGAUGGAGAGAGAGAGUCGGUUUUACCUGAAUCGAAGCGGUCUGGGUCGGCUUUUCUUGUAAGAGACUGAGCGGUGGGCCAUAUCUGUUAGAAAGAGCAUCUAUACGUAGAAAACACAAGUUUUGCAACAAGCUGCCUGUAUCUUGAUACGUAUUUGCAAAAAAAAUUGAAAGAUG